UAUUCUGCCCCAUGGGGAAGGAUGAGAAGCUUCGACUAAGGUUCGACUCGAGCGAAGCGAGAGAA
Molecule: small RNA, 65 nt
Filed under: Klebsiella pneumoniae
Lineage: Bacteria; Pseudomonadati; Pseudomonadota; Gammaproteobacteria; Enterobacterales; Enterobacteriaceae
Also listed under: 1 other name
Description: partial RtT sRNA
Rfam family: RtT RNA
About the family: This family represents a bacterial cis-regulatory element known as RtT RNA.
Source: RNAcentral